RNAcentral lists this long non-coding RNA (1066 nucleotides) under Equus caballus (horse). Its description in RNAcentral is "lncRNA (ENSECAG00000045749.1)". Lineage: Eukaryota; Metazoa; Chordata; Mammalia; Perissodactyla; Equidae. The record is from RNAcentral.
UUGCACUCCUGGACAUCAUCCCAGAGAAAUAAAACUUACACCCACACAAAAACCCACACGCGAAUGUUACAGCAGUUUUACGUGGAAUAGCCAAAACCUGCAAACAACCCGGAUGUCCUUCAACAGGCAAAUAGUUAACCAAGCUGUGCUCCAUCUGCACCAUGGAAUACUACGCAGCAACGAAAAGGACUAACUGUUGACACAACAAACUGAAUGGAUUGACAGGGAAUUCUCCUGGAAAAAGCCAAUCCCAAGAGUUACAGGACAGUCCUGAGUGAGGCCACUUUGGAUGAGGUGGCCUCGGACCAACCCUGUGGCAGAGAGUAGACAUCACAUGGAGUGUGGGGAGCGAGGAAGUAAGUGGAGGAACUCUGGGGUCAGCAGGGAGAAGACAUGGACGCAGAGAUCGCCAGGUCACCUGGAGCCAGACAACUCACCUGCAGGCCGGGGGAGAGUUUGUGACCAUCCUCUGUCAACUGUCAACUUGAGAAGGUCAAUGCAGGGAACGACACUUUUCCUUCUUACUAGAACUGGUGUGCGUGCACACGUGCGUGCAUGCACACCCAGGCAUCUGCAGGCAGACCGUGGUAGGUGGGAUGCCAGCCCCACCACUAGCCAUCUGUGGUGCUGGGCUGGUUCCCAACCCUUCAAAACCUCAGUCUUCAUCAGUAAAGUGGCAAUAAGAAGAGUACCGUGGCGACGGUUGGGUGAGAUGGAGCAGUUAAGGCGCCCGGGAGCCGAGAAGACAGGAGAGAGGGAGGCUUGUGCGCAUCUUACGUUUUCUUCCACAUCCUGAGACACGACCCGCCUCUGACAACCCCCACUGUGUUCACUGUUCACCAUCUCCCCAGAUGGCUUUACUCCUCUUUGCUCCUUGUGACGAACUAUUGUGUGGGACAUUCUGCAAGGAAAAAUGUGCAAAGGAACUCCUAGCCACCAACCUCAGAGCAACAACAUUUCAAUAUUAAAUAUUAAGGCACCAAUAUGCUGGUCAAAGACAAAAACUUGUAGCUGUGAGAUAAAUAAGUCCUGGGGACGUCCCGUACAGCCUGGGGACUGAGGUUAC